GUGGUGUUUGGUUUGUUACGUGUGGUUGGCUGCGGCGUUUGCAACAACUUCCAUGCUUUCAGACCUCUUCAGUUGUGCGGCAAGGCUUGUAUCGCCUUGAGCGUAUUGUGGGUUUUCUGUGUUGACUACCUAAUCAAUGGUAUCUGUUGGAUUGAUCAAUGUUUCAUUUCGUCUAUCGUUGCAUUUGCGGCGUGAGAUGAACCUUGAUGCGGUCUCUUUGAUCCACCUCGUUGAAGCACAUGCUUUGACGUUGUGGCACAUUGAGCAUUGCUUGGUCUCUUGUAUACGGAACAUAUAGUGGGCAUGGAUCUAACGAUUCUUGUUUGCCCUCAUAUUAGCGUAACGCUUCUCUUACACGACUUGCUCCACGUUUUAGCUCGUACGGACGUGGUGCUAUGUCGAAGAGGAAUGCUACCUGGUUGAUCCUGCCAGUAGUCAUAUGCUUGUCUCAAAGAUUAAGCCAU
This 464-nucleotide unclassified non-coding RNA is filed under the name Artemisia schimperi. Its description in RNAcentral is "partial external transcribed spacer". The stretch from base 413 to 464 matches the Rfam family "Eukaryotic small subunit ribosomal RNA", at positions 1 to 52 of the family's 1831-position model. Lineage: Eukaryota; Viridiplantae; Streptophyta; Magnoliopsida; Asterales; Asteraceae. The record is from RNAcentral.